AUUUUAAUAUAUAUAAUAUAUUGUAAUUUAUUUUAUUCUUGCUAUUAUUUGUUAUAUGAUACUGAAACCUACUUAACCUGUUAUACUCUACAUAGUGAAAAAUAUAGCAAUGGAAAAAUUGACAGUAAUAUUACUUUCUUUUAUGCUGCAGGCUACACGUAUAUCUGGGGCCACUGAUUGUUCCCCGCCAUGGAUGGCUCAAAGUAAUCCAUUUUUCGCAAAGAUUUUAUCAAAAUCAGUCUAUAGAUGUCCGUCGAUUUUUGGAGACUCAAAUAAAGUAUACUGUUGUUACAAUACGGAUGGAGACGUUGUAUGUUGCAAUUUUCAAGAAUAUUUCGUUUUUAGAUUAUUUUGUCUUCUUCCAAUUAUUUUAAUGGUGUUAAUCAUUCUAUCAUUCGUCUGCUGUAUGUGUUGUUAUCUGUGCCCAUUUUGCAUGAUUUAUAAACGCAGAUAAACUAGAAGAUAGCUGAAGACAACCAAGGUGUAUCUCAUUAUCUCAAUAUUGAUGAAAAAAAAAAUUAUGUUUUAUAAAGAGGAAAUAAUACCAUGUUUUUAUUAGCUCUGUAUAUUCUAUUAAUAUUUAUAACUAUAUCUAUAGCAGACAUUUUCAACCUUGGGUUUCCAAACAUUUUUAAGGUCAACAAAUAAUAAUACACAACGUAAAAUAGAUAGUAAGUGUUUUUUU
This is a long non-coding RNA of Acyrthosiphon pisum (pea aphid), 685 nucleotides long. RefSeq lists it as uncharacterized. The transcript has 4 exons. The record is from RefSeq and is a predicted model, not a curated record. NCBI's taxonomy places the organism in Eukaryota, Metazoa, Arthropoda, Insecta, Hemiptera, Aphididae.